Molecule: long non-coding RNA, 2688 nt
Filed under: Neodiprion pinetum (white pine sawfly)
Lineage: Eukaryota; Metazoa; Arthropoda; Insecta; Hymenoptera; Diprionidae
Description: uncharacterized LOC124217595
Source: RNAcentral
AAUAUUACUGUAAGUCAUGGCCAACCAGAUGAGAAUGAAAUAGCUUUAAAAAAUUUUAGCGCUUGCCAAUCCCGGGUGAACAUUCUCAUCUACCAAGUAUUCGGGAACGAGCUCAAUUCUGGCUGCGAACUGAAUUACACAAGAGAUAUAUGUUUUGAUCGAUGCAACGCCCCUUUCACACGAAAAAUACCUAAUCUUUUUGACGAUCCCCGCUCCGAUUCGUAUCGCCGCAACCCUUGGCUCAGCCUAAGACUGUAAACUGAUAAUGCAUUGAGCAUGUCGUUAUCUGCUGGCGCGAUACCGCGAUGCUGGACUUGUAACGCAUAUGUUGCGCAAGAAACACGACGCGUCGUAUCGCCUGAUUUUCCGUCCCUCGACUUUAUUCAUCUCUAGACGCCUGCGGUCAGUUUUGGGUCAUUUGAUUUAUUCGGCAGUUAUUAUAUGAACUCCAUUUACAGCAUUAAUGAUAGCUCCAAGUGUAGAAGCCGUGAACGUGAUGCGAGCACGUGCCUUUCUCGUUCUGAUGCGUUAUCACGCCGUUUCUGUUGCGUCUUUUAUUGUAGCGAUGCGUGUCCACGAAUUAUUUUUACAAUUAUAAAUGCGUGGCCUUAACUUAUGUCGGGGAGUCUCGAAGUGCACAAUUAAAAAAGCAAUUUACGGUUGAAAAAACUCGGGAGCUAGACGCUAUAAGUAGAACGGCGCGAUGCACGAUUUACGGUUUUAAUUUUUGCUAAUUGGUACACAUUUUUUUUAUGAUCACGCUCAUAGGCUUAUCACUGGAAAAAUGUUUUUAUUUUUAUCAACUCAUACCAUACAUAGGUAUACGAGUGUAUCGAAUUGCCAUGUACACAUGGACAAAUCGACGAAAAGUAUUUUGCAUCCAUAUUCUUCGCCUAAUUAGAGUAAGCUAAAGUUUACGAUUAUGUUUAAUGCAAAACUAGAGGAGAUUGAAUGUAUAUGCUAUACACCAAAUCACAUCAAAUUUAAUUUUUGCUCAUUAUAGAAUAUUUUCCAUUUUUCUUUCACGUCAAAAUAUACGACUGCGGAAAUUGCUCGAAUACCAUUCUGCUCGUGACUGGGUCUGACAGCUCGGCAUCCGCCGAAUCUUGUCAGGCCGAGCAAUUUUGCUGUGUAUGUAAAAUAAUUACUGCGUGACUAUUGCCAAUUUUUCGGUAAUUCCUCUAGACUUGAAUAUAAUACAAUCUGAGUAUGAAAUCGGCUUACUUCGUUGGAGUCUAUCCGAUCAGGUUUCACUGCAUGCUAAGAAUUGCGUAAUUAUCAUACAUUAUGGACUUAAUUUAAUUCCAUCCUAUAUCAAUAGGAUAAUAAAUUAAGUUGUUAAUUGAACAAUUCAGUUAUAAUUCAGAUACAUUUGCAAUACUUGAAUUUCAAACGUGUUUCAGUUACAGUAAUUGUUAAAUGAAGUCAAUAAUUCAAGCAAGAUAAAUUUAAUUGGGAUAUCAUUAAUUAAUUGAUUAAGUGGAUUCGAGGUGAUUCCAUUAUAUCAAUCGGAGAACGAUUAAAUAAUCGUGGUAUUUGGGUGAUUCCGUAGCUCACUGAACGUCUUGUAUAAUAUAUAUGGAUAUUAAUCUUACUUAACAUUAAGAAUUCUAUAAAAACUCAUUUAUUGCCGUAAGACUCAUAAAUACUUUUUUAUGCAGGAAAAAAUCAUCUUCCAACAACAAGUCAAUCAAGACUGGCUGACGUCGAAUCGCCUGAUUAUUGUUUAUGAAUUGUCUCGCGAACUGCGAUGGUUAUACUCCUUGUUAUUGGCCACCAGUACGAACUGCGGCCAAGUGUCUCUGUACGUCGCACUACAGGUUGCAGAUUAAUUCUAUCUCUAUUUCUCGCUCUGAUUUUCAAUGCUAGCAAACAAUAACGGAAUAUGGCCUGCACGCUCCAAGCAUUGGGAAAUUUCCCUGCUAUAAAAAGACCAACUAGUCAAAUUACAUACGUAGCAAUUUUUUGAAACAAUGAUUCAGUUUACGAUAAUUCUAUCUAUGCAUGUCUUUAUACGAAUAAAAUUAUUUUGGGGCGAUUAUUUGAACUGUUGACUUUGUUUAACAUUAGACGAUAAAUAUUGAUGAUUAACAAUAAAAGUAUGUCAAAGGAUAAGUUGAACGGGAACUCAAAAACCGUUACACCGAUAAAGAAUUUUUGAAGUCUUUCCAGUCUUAUCCCACAUGAGAAGAAAAGAAAAACCAUUACCUCGAAACCACAUGAGGUUUGUUUGGAAAAUUUAUUAUAGUCUCCAUGCUCUAUAAACUUGUACUAUUUUUCUUUUUAUUACUGCUAUUAGCAGAACUAGUCUGAAAAUUCAUCUCGACCGACAAGAUGACGGGUGUCAAUUGGAUUUAGUGCUAUUUAAUGUUCCUUACAAUAAACAUAACACGGCACAAUAGAGGACAUCAAUUCGUCUUGUAGAAUUUUUAAUCCAACCAAAGAAUAUUUACAUAUUGUAUAAAUUAUACUGUACAUAUGUAACGCAGAUGUAUUUCUUUCUAAAAUUGAAGCUACACGUAAGAAAAAAGAAUAAAAGAUACAACUGAUAUAUAUAUAUAUAUAUAUAUAUAUAUAUAUAUAUAUAUCAUUAUCUUAUUGCCAAAUAACUGAAACGAAUCAAUGACCCCGAGAAAUUUGUUGAGUGUACAUGCCGUGAUUAUCACAGCCUAGGCAAACGUCACACAA